CAUAUCUUACAUCGCUGCCUGGUAUGUGAAAUUCGUAGAGGCCGGGGUGCUCGCGCCGUUCCGCCUUGGGAGACGCUAGCAAAGGUAACUUCCAGUUUCUUUGCGCUUAUUUUUUUGCACAGAAAUUCUCGCUGAUCAGUGGCAUCUUGUUUGCUGGUGGGAGCGCAAGCUUGCAAGAUGGUCCUAAGUACCGCGCCAGCGAGUUUCUCUUUGUUCUUCCCUCUUGCUUUAGCUUUGGAAUGCUUCUUGUUCGUUCUUCGUCCAGGAGUAUUCACUUUGGAACUAGAGUAUUUGAUUGUUUAUUUUGAUCUUGUAGAGGGCACUGGAAGCAAAUGAUAGGACGUGCUUGGGUCUGGAACUUCUAGCUGUGAUCGUCAGUGGCAACCAUUCCAUCCUGAACGAUUACAACGCAUACCACGAAGCUGCUGGAGAGCUAAACUUCGUGGGCGACUGGGCCAAAGAGCUCAGCAUGUUCUGGUUUCCUAAGGGCAUUCCGGAUAAGGUGGAGCACGAGAAGCUUGCGGAAUCACAUUCUAAGGUUUAGUUUGUGUUUUCUUCUUUGGCUUGGAUUGCAGAAAGGUCUUGUUGUAUUAUGAAACAGUGUUGUGUUAUUGUUAUGACGGUUAAUACAUGGUUAAUUGUAUGGGUUUAUAGUGAUGA
Selaginella moellendorffii is the source of this 660-nucleotide long non-coding RNA. RefSeq lists it as uncharacterized. NCBI's taxonomy places the organism in Eukaryota, Viridiplantae, Streptophyta, Lycopodiopsida, Selaginellales, Selaginellaceae. The transcript is spliced from 2 exons. The record is from RefSeq and is a predicted model, not a curated record.